Jatropha curcas is the source of this 1711-nucleotide non-coding RNA. The record is from RefSeq and is a predicted model, not a curated record. Lineage: Eukaryota; Viridiplantae; Streptophyta; Magnoliopsida; Malpighiales; Euphorbiaceae.
AUAUGGCGUGCAGCCACUGAGCAUCCAGCCAAAGCGCACCCAUCGUUUUCUUGCUUUGCCAUUUUUUUCUCAUUUCUCAACCCAAACCCACCAAAAAAAAAAAAAAAAAAAUGAACGAAAAUUCCAACUCCACCAACAGAGGCGAAGCUGAGCGCCUGCUCGGAGUCGCCGAGAAACUCCUCCAAUCCCGUGAUUUCAGCGGUACAAGAGACUUCGCCGUCUUGGCCCAAGAAACAGAGCCUCUCCUUGAAGGCCCAGAUCAGAUCUUGGCCGUCGCCGACGUCCUUUUGUCCGCCGAGAAGCGCAUUAAUAACCACCACGAUUGGUAUGCGAUCUUGCAAAUUGACCGCCGGUCCGAUGACCAGGAUCUAUUAAAGAAGCAGUACCGUCGGUUUGCAUUACUUCUCCAUCCAGACAAGAACAAGUUCCCUUUCGCAGAUCAAGCUUUUAAGCUUGUCGCAGACGCUUGGGCUGUCUUAUCGGAUUCAGCUAAGAAAUCACUAUACGAUAACGAAUUGAGCUUGUUUUCUAGGGUUGAUUUAACAAAUUCAGGAAAAUUACCGGUCAGAAGGAGCCAGCGACCAGCAUCGAAGAAACACACAGGCGAGAGCGUUAAAACUUCUGUUAGUAGUAGUAAUAGCUCAGCGGAUCGGAGUCAAAGGAUGAAGCUAUCGUCUUUUUGGACUGCUUGUCCAUAUUGUUUUAUUUUAUAUGAGUACCCUCGGAUUUACCAGGACUGUUGUUUAAGAUGCCAGAAUUGCCAGAGGGCGUUUCACGCGGCGUUGAUACCGUCGUUACCGCCGUUAGUGCCCGGGAAGGACGCCUAUUACUGCUGCUGGGGUUUUUUCCCUUUGGGCUUUAUGUUUGGGAAUCCAGAAAGUGGUGCGAAAACCUCCGGGUCUGGGGCUGCGUCUGUUUUUCCAAACUGGAUGCCUCCAAUUUUUGGCCCGGGGCAGCAAAGUAGUGAUAAAAAUGAUGGCAGCACCUCUACACCGCCAGCCUUUACCUCUGGGAACCAAGUGGGUGAUAGAAAUGGUACUGUGAGAGCAACUUCAGUACCAACACCAACAGCAGCAGCAGCAGCAGCACCAGCUCCAACACCGGUAAGGUCAGGGGCGGGUAGAGGCGGUGGAGUAGUUGGGAGUUCGGAUGGGAGUGGCACUGGGUUUGCCGCAAAGAAAAGGGGAAGGCCAAGAAAAUAUCCCCUACAAAAUGUUUGAUAUAAAUUACAAGAGAAGGAAUGAGAGAAGAUGGAGGAAGUUUUUAUGGCCUGAAUUGGUAAGAGGUAUAGAAGUCUCAAGCAAGAGGGCUUUAUAGCUGGCACACUAUGGGGAAGUCCAUAGGCCAAAAUUUGAAUGCUUUUAACGUUUGUUUCAUGCUCUGCACCUUGGUAGUUGGUGGAUGAUUAGAGAUGUCUAAGUUAUGAAUGAAAUCGCGGUAGCCAUGUCCUAUAAGGUCAUUUGGGGAUGAACAAAACCACCUGUUUGGUGGUUUUGCCUCCCUGCUAUGAGCUAUGGAGCAUCCUUGCUUUGUAUAUUUUAAUUAUACCGUGAUUUGUAUUUUUGUAUUUCUAACUUGCAUACUCAUGAAUCCUGGAUGGAUAGACAACAGAUAAGGCGAGACUUUCAUCUAUCACAUGGGUUUCGAACAAGGUUUGUAUGUAUUGGUAAAAGAAAUGAAUUCCCAUCUAUUGGUAAAAACUUUAUAUUAA